Molecule: long non-coding RNA, 1454 nt
Filed under: Mus musculus (house mouse)
Lineage: Eukaryota; Metazoa; Chordata; Mammalia; Rodentia; Muridae
Description: predicted gene 13974
Source: RNAcentral
GCCUGCCUCUCUUCUCCAAGCAGGGCUCCCAUCUCUUCAGGCUGGGCUAACAUCAUUACACACUCCUGUCAGUUGACCACAGGUAACUGAAAUGUGGGACACUGAAGACAGGAAGGAGGGUCUGCUGUAUGCAGACAUUGUGAUGUUUCUCAUAAGGCCCUCAGAGAUCUUGGGCUUUGCACUCUAUUUUUAACAAUGAGUCAUUUGCCUUGAGAUGCUGUUGGCUGUCCAAACUCAUGAUUUGGAAGAUAUCUCUCCCUGUUUUGAACAAACCAAAACAACAACAACAACAACAACAAAUCCUACAGGUAUCACAGGCAACAUCCAUGUAACUUUCACAACAUAAUUUGCUGCAAAAAUGCAGAGUGUAGUCUGUAUCCCUUCAAGUGCUGUGUGGAGCCUCUGUCAAGAUGCAUCUUUCAUGUUUCCAUAUUAAGUAAACAGUCAUUUUUAGGAGCAACAAGAACCUGCUUUGUUGAUAAUGAAAAAUGAUGCUUGACUACAUUUUAUAGAGGAAUUUUAAUCCAGCAAUAUGUCUGCUCUGGCAAGGAACCACAUCCAAAGAUCCAGGUCUGUGUGAUCUGGGUGGAACACAGACAUGACAUACACCUUUAAUCCCAAACAAUGUAGAGACUAGAAGAUUUCUUAUGUCACUUUUUAUCUGCACCACCACUUUGCCUUUAAAGAAGAUGUAUCCCAAUUUUCAAGACCAGACCUUAUGUACUGUACUGAAGAUUAUCUGUUAGUGACAGCAAACUAUACCACGUCAUAGGAAAAGACUGUUUCAAAUCUCUAAAAUGUCAGGAGCAGAGAAAGUCCUGAGUCUGUGGAGUGAAUAUCUUUUGAUAAAGGUGCAGCCAUGUUAAUGACUUCAAAUUGCUGGGCUCAGAGAGAUGGCAAAGCCUUCCAAGGGAACUGAAGGACUGGAUUCCCAAAAGGUUUGGAGUGAUGUUCUUCUGGUAAAUUUACAUAAUAAGCUGCUGCAGAUUGGACUCAAUACAGAUUAAACAAUGCCAAAUGCAAUGGGCCAGAGAGAUGGUUCAAUGAUUAGAAAUGUGUACUACUUUUGCCCAAGACCUGAGAUGGCUUCCCAGCACCUACAUUACAGCGUUGAUCAUUGCCUCUGACCACAGCUCCAGUAGAUCGGGCAUCCUUUUCUGUCAUCUGUGGGCAUGCGUGCUAUGUGCACAUACACAAAGACACACACAAAACGUGCAUAAAUAUUACAAAAAAGACAAUAAACCUUUUAUAAAAUGAAGUACUUUUUGGAACUUAACUCUUUAAAACAAGUAAUGCUGUAUGAAGUGUUGCUGUUUUUGUAAUUCUUAAAGUUCAAAAAGGUGAUUGUAAUUUCACUGUUUGAAUCUCUCAUGCAAAACUGCUGUGUGAAGUGCACAAUAAAGUCCAUCUUAAGGGAUAAUCCAAAUAUGCAUUUUAUUAAAGAAAUAAUCUAU